CUCCCUGGGGUGUUUGGUUACUGGCAUUGUCCCUCGAGCCGAUAAUCAUACCACCGGGGGCAGCUCGUAAGCCUUGAUGUGCAUGUCCGCCUGACGGAAAGCCUAAUAGGUUUCAGUUGCUCCCACCUUGAACCUUCGGGUUCAGGGGCUGCGUCGGUACCGGCACUUCCGGGGA
Molecule: non-coding RNA, 175 nt
Filed under: marine eukaryotic metagenome
Description: 6S / SsrS RNA
Rfam family: 6S / SsrS RNA
About the family: E. coli 6S RNA was the first non coding RNA to be sequenced, but its function was unknown until recently. It consists of 184 nucleotides that fold into an extended hairpin structure with a large single-stranded internal bulge. The 6S RNA specifically associates with RNA polymerase holoenzyme containing the sigma70 specificity factor.
Source: RNAcentral